GAUGAACGCUAGCGGCAGGCCUAAUACAUGCAAGCCGAACGGCAAGUUUGAUAGCAAUAUUGGACCUAGAGUGGCGCAAGGGUGCGUAACACGUAUGCAACCUGCCCGCGACAGGAGGAUAGCUCCCCGAAAGGGGAAUUAACCCUCCAUAACACCAUGAGAAGGCAUCUGAUUAUGGUUAAACCGCAAGGUGUCGCGGAUGGGCAUGCGGUUGAUUAGCUAGUUGGCGGGGUAAAGGCCCACCAAGGCGGUGAUCAAUAGGGGUUCUGAGAGGAAGGUCACCGGAACUGGCACUGGGAAACGGGCCAGACUCCUACGGGAGGCAGCAGUAGGGAAUAAUGGACAGUAGUUGUAAGACUGAUCCAGCCAUGCCGCGUGGAGGAAGAAGGCAUUCUGAGUCGUAAACUGCUUUUUACUGUGGAUAAAAUACCCGUGCGCGGGGAAUUGAAGGUAACAGGGGAAUAAGCCACGGCUAACUACGUG
This 483-nucleotide ribosomal RNA is filed under the name uncultured bacterium. Its description in RNAcentral is "partial 16S ribosomal RNA". It matches the Rfam family "Bacterial small subunit ribosomal RNA", at positions 28 to 507 of the family's 1533-position model. The record is from RNAcentral.